GUGGAUGUUCACCGCUCACACAGCCGGAUCCACGUUGCACGUUCUUCUCGCCUCGCAGAUUCUUUUCCACGAGAGGAAGUGCUACAACAAUCUGACGUCAUGACAAACGACUAAGCGUCCCAGAGGGGGUGAAAAGGCCUACACCUGCAGAGGAUCUGCAGAGAGCAUCUCUGUCAUCUGGAGACCUGAGAACAGAGAAGGAAAACAGAUGAAACAUACGGGGGUCACCCUCCACCCCCAGACGUUGUUAUUUCAAGCUUUUCUCAUCAUAUUGAGGAGGAAGGGAACAAUACACAGCACACACACACACACAUAAACUCGCUCGGAGCACUCGCUCAGAACAGCACAGUCAGCUCUUUCAGCAGACAGAAGAAAGAGAAAUAUCAAAGAGCUAAGGAGCAAGGAGGAGGGACAGGGUGAAAGAUAUAGACAGCAGGGGAGAUAAAGUACUUUAUCCACAGAGGCUUUACUCCUCACUACUCCUCUACCACUUUUGCACCAGUGUGAUACAAAACAUGCAUUAACACGACUUGAGCUAGAGGCAGCUUUUUUUUGUUCUCUCUCUUUUUAGGUUUUCAACUGUUUACAUCUGCCAGCUAUUUUUCACAGAGUCUUAAGAGAGGUGCGAGGGAACAAGCAGUGAGAAAUCUCGGAGAAAAAGGAAAUCUUGUCCACUGUUCAGGAAAAUCAACAGCGCUGGAGACACCAGGACACUUGGCACCACACUGACGUGACCCAAAAUUCGACCCUGCGGGACGCCAGUGACGGUCUGACAUGAAAGAUGAGGCGCAGAGGAGGACAUCAUCAACAGGCGGCGGGGAAACAAAGCUCCAGCUAAUCGCUGCUUCCUACAAAACUACAUCUGUAAAGUUACUUUUAACCCGAGAAACAAGCAAGACCAAAUAGCGAAACAGAGUAAAGACUCUUACACAGUCAAUUCAUGCUGUAGACGUGUUUUGUUCCUCACAAAAUUAACCUCUUUGAACCUUAACCAAUUAUUUUUACCAAGCAGGGAAGAGCAGCUUAAGACAACUUCAGG
This is a long non-coding RNA of Gasterosteus aculeatus aculeatus (three-spined stickleback), 1039 nucleotides long. The record is from Ensembl. Lineage: Eukaryota; Metazoa; Chordata; Actinopteri; Perciformes; Gasterosteidae.